AGCAGCCGCGGUAAUUCCAGCUCCAAUAGCGUAUAUUAAAGUUGCUGCAGUUAAAAAGCUCGUAGUUGAAUUUCGGGAUCGAUAUAUCGGUCGUGCCUCAGUACGUACUGGUAUUUUCGGUUUCUCCCUUCUGACGAACCUUGAUGUCAUUAAUUUGGUGUCUUGGGGAAUCAGGACUGUUACUUUGAAAAAAUUUAGAGUGUUUAAAGCAGGCUCACGCUUGAAUACAUUAGCAUGGAAUAAUGAAAUAGGACGUUUGAUUCUAUUUUGUUGGUUUCUAGGAUCGACGUAAUGAUUAAUAGGGAUAGUUGGGGGCAUUAGUAUUCAAUUGUCAGAGGUGAAAUUCUUAGAUUUAUUGAAGACUAACUACUGCGAAAGCAUUUGCCAAGGAUGUUUUCAUUAAUCAAGAACGAAAGUUAGGGGAUCGAAGACGAUCAGAUACCGUCGUAGUCUUAACCAUAAACUAUGCCGACUAGGGAUCGGAUGAUGUUAAUUUUUUAAUGACUCAUUCGGCGCCUUA
Molecule: ribosomal RNA, 520 nt
Filed under: uncultured Glomus
Lineage: Eukaryota; Fungi; Glomeromycota; Glomeromycetes; Glomerales; Glomeraceae
Description: SSU rRNA
Rfam family: Eukaryotic small subunit ribosomal RNA
Source: RNAcentral